UUAGUUGAAGCUAAAGUAAGCAGCAUCUCACUGUUAAUGGGAAUUUAGGGUGUCUAACCCCAACUAAG
This 68-nucleotide transfer RNA is filed under the name Daphnia pulex (common water flea). RNAcentral's name for it is "tRNA-Asn". Lineage: Eukaryota; Metazoa; Arthropoda; Branchiopoda; Diplostraca; Daphniidae. The record is from RNAcentral.